RNAcentral lists this ribosomal RNA (253 nucleotides) under uncultured bacterium. Its description in RNAcentral is "partial 16S ribosomal RNA". It matches the Rfam family "Bacterial small subunit ribosomal RNA", at positions 524 to 776 of the family's 1533-position model. The record is from RNAcentral.
UACGUAGGUGGCAAGCGUUAUCCGGAAUUAUUGGGCGUAAAGAGCGCGCAGGUGGUUAAUUAAGUCUGAUGUGAAAGCCCACGGCUUAACCGUGGAGGGUCAUUGGAAACUGGUUGACUUGAGUGCAGAAGAGGGAAGUGGAAUUCCAUGUGUAGCAGUGAAAUGCGUAGAGAUAUGGAGGAACACCAGUGGCGAAGGCGGCUUCCUGGUCUGCAACUGACACUGAGGCGCGAAAGCGUGGGGAGCAAACAGG